GACGAACGCUGGCGGCGUGCUUAACACAUGCAAGUCGAACGCUAAAGCUUUGUGCUUGCGCUGUGAGGAUGAGCGGCGGACGGGUGAGUAAUACGUGAGUCACCUGCUCUUUAUUCUGGGAUAAUCAUGGGAAACAGGGUCUAAUACUGGAUACGACAUCCUACCGCUUGGUGCAGUGGGGAUUGGGAUUUAGUGGUUUUGGAUGGGCUCACGGCCGAUCAGCUUGUUGGUGGGGUAAUGGCUCACCAAGGCGACGACGGGUAGCCGGCCUGAGAGGGUGACCGGCCACACUGGGCCUGAGAGACGGACCAGACUCCUACGGGAGGCAGCAGGGGGGAGUAUUGCACAGUGGGCGCGAGCCUGAUGCGGCGACGCCGCGUGAGGGAUGACGGCCUUCGGGUUGUAAACCUCUUUCAGCAAGGAAGAAGCGAAAGUGACGGUACGUGAAGAAGAAGCACCGGCUAACUACGUG
This 472-nucleotide ribosomal RNA is filed under the name uncultured bacterium. RNAcentral's name for it is "partial 16S ribosomal RNA". It matches the Rfam family "Bacterial small subunit ribosomal RNA", at positions 28 to 507 of the family's 1533-position model. The record is from RNAcentral.